UACGUAGGGGGCUAGCGUUGUCCGGAAUCAUUGGGCGUAAAGAGCGUGUAGGCGGCCCGGUAAGUCCGCUGUGAAAGUCGGGGGCUCAACCCUCGAAUGCCGGUGGAUACUGUCGGGCUAGAGUGCGGAAGAGGCGAGUGGAAUUCCUGGUGUAGCGGUGAAAUGCGUAGAUAUCGGAAGGAACACCGGUGGCGAAAGCGGCGCGCUGGAUCCCCACUGACGCUGAGGCACGAAAGCCAGGGGAGCAAACGGG
Molecule: ribosomal RNA, 253 nt
Filed under: uncultured bacterium
Lineage: Bacteria
Description: partial 16S ribosomal RNA
Rfam family: Bacterial small subunit ribosomal RNA
Source: RNAcentral